This is a long non-coding RNA of Oncorhynchus nerka (sockeye salmon), 1724 nucleotides long. RefSeq lists it as uncharacterized. Lineage: Eukaryota; Metazoa; Chordata; Actinopteri; Salmoniformes; Salmonidae. The record is from RefSeq and is a predicted model, not a curated record. The transcript has 5 exons.
AGUGCCUGGCAGCACUGUGUUCCUGUUAGAGCCACCAGCACAAGCACCAGACGAUGCUGAUCCAGGUGAAGGCCCCAGUGCAGCAGCAACAGCACAUGAUGAGGAGGAGACCAUCUCUCUGGAUUCCAGAAGGCAUGAGGACCCAGAUGCUAUACAGUGGGAAAACCAGCCUGGCAACAUAGUGCGUAUUAAUAAAAGGACACCACAUCCUGCCAAAUUCCAGCUGCGCUAAUUGUAUUGUGUUCACAGAGCUCACAAGCUAUCAGAAAGUUGUAUGGCAACCACCUCCGGCGCCAAAUAGAACUGGCAAACAUAGACAUUCAGUACAAGAAGAAAAAGAUGGAAAAUCUUGCACUGGAGUCCGAAAUAAAAAAGAGGACAAUUAGGAAACUGGACCUUGAAAUAAAAAAACUUGAGAGGGAGGUGAGAUAUGCCUUCAAUGUACACUGUAUGCUAACUGUAACACAAAUGUAUUAAUCAUUAUUUUUCUUUCCUCCCCCAGCUCCAAGAAGAUGACACAGCUCAAAAUAAAAAUUAGGUAUAUUCUCGUAAAGUCAAGUGAGCCAUGACAUAUGAGCUCUUAUUGUGAGCACACAGGACGGUGGCAUCUUUCUAAGUUUUUUUUUAUUUUCCCAGCAAUCAGUACAACCAAGUCAUCGUUAUAAGGCAUCGCCCUCUUUUGCCCACCCCCCCAGCACCAGGUGUGGCCACUAGCCUAUAUGAAGGCCCAAAAUGGUGUGUUCCUUUCUGCUCUGACAAUGGCAUGCCCAUUCGUGCGAGAUGUGGUGGAUGAAGAAGCACUUGUGCUGAGGAGAGCCUUCAGGCGAGAAAGGGUCUUCAGGGACCGGUUGGACCCACUGGCCUUCCCUGAUGACCAUCUAUAUGAAAGAUACAGGUUUUCUGCAGAUGGCAUCAGGUAUCUAUGCAGACUACUGGGUCCCAGGAUUAAGCACCGCACUGCACGGAGCCAUGCACUGAGUGUGGAGCAAAUGGUUUGUGUGGCCUUGCGCUUUUUUGCUAGUGGAGCCUUCCUGUACUCAGUGGGGGAUGCUGAACAAGGCCACAAUUUGCCGCACAAUAAGGAGUGUGUGUCUGGCUAUCAAAGCAUUAGCAGAUGUCUUCAUCUCCUUCCCUGGCCACAGAAGACUCUGUGACAUCAAAGAGGAGUUCUAUAGGAUUGCAGAUGGUCUGCAAUGCUGACUGUGUGAUCAGCAAUGUUGUGGCAAAAUGGCCUGGCUCAGUCCAUGACUCCAGAAUCUUUCGGGCCUCUGAAAUCUAUCAGUGCCUAUCACAAGGUGAAUUCUCUGGUGUGUUGCUGGGAGACAGGGGUAUGGCUGCCAGCCUUUUCUCCUGACACCUUUCACAGACCCCCAGGAAGCACAGCAGGCCUACAACCAUGCCCAUGCCAGGACCAGGGCCAGAGUUGAAAUGACCUUUGGCCUCCUGAAGGCACGCUUUCACUGCCUUCACAAAUUAAGGGUCAGCCCUGUUAGGGCAUGUGAUAUUACUGUGGCUUGUGCUGUCCUCCACAAUGUGGCCUGCCUGAGGAAGGAGAGGGCCCCCAGAGUGCCACCAGCCAUGGACUGGGACAAUCCGGCAAUCUUCCCUGAUGACGACAGUGGUCGGCUGCUGAGGGACCAAUAUGUGUUGAAUUAUUUUAGUUAGUAUGUGUGCUUUCAAUUUUGGUUAAAUAUGUCCUGCGGUGGCAGAGGAAUUUGGGUUUU